AGCGAACGCUGGCGGCAGGCCUAACACAUGCAAGUCGAACGAACUCUUCGGAGUUAGUGGCGGACGGGUGAGUAACACGUGGGAACGUGCCUUUAGGUUCGGAAUAACUCAGGGAAACUUGUGCUAAUACCGAAUGUGCCCUUCGGGGGAAAGAUUUAUCGCCUUUAGAGCGGCCCGCGUCUGAUUAGCUAGUUGGUGAGGUAAAGGCUCACCAAGGCGACGAUCAGUAGCUGGUCUGAGAGGAUGAUCAGCCACAUUGGGACUGAGACACGGCCCAAACUCCUACGGGAGGCAGCAGUGGGGAAUAUUGCGCAAUGGGCGAGAGCCUGACGCAGCCAUGCCGCGUGAAUGAUGAAGGUCUUAGGAUUGUAAAAUUCUUUCACCCGGGACGAUAAUGACGGUACCCGGAGAAGAAGCCCCGGCUAACUUCGUG
RNAcentral lists this ribosomal RNA (433 nucleotides) under uncultured bacterium. RNAcentral's name for it is "partial 16S ribosomal RNA". It matches the Rfam family "Bacterial small subunit ribosomal RNA", at positions 29 to 507 of the family's 1533-position model. The record is from RNAcentral.